UUAAUAUAUAGUUUGUUGGUAAUGUAUUCCUCUCUUUGUAGGUGUUAGCUUCAAUUAUCCGACUGACAGAUGACACAACCAUUAAAAACUGUUCAAAUACGCAGAUUAGCUAAUCGAUGGACAAAAUCUGCAGGAGCUCCAACUACUCCACACACUUGACAGCAACAGAACUCGCUUGCGUGAGCUCCUCCUUAUACAUUGAUCGGAUACAAAUUCCCUACGGCUUGGAAAUCUCGAGGUUUCGUAUUAUGUUUUGUCUUCCUCGGGUCGUUCAAAGGCAAAGACAUAGUCUCACCAUUUGAACAAUUAAGAUUAAGAUUUUCAAGACGAGUGGUUCUCAACUAAGCCUAUAGUCUAAUUACAAUGCAAAGCCACUAAUCCAAUGUAACGAAGCCAAAUACAAAAUAUGUGGAAUCUACGAAGAAGACAACUUUUAUAUAUGAUUCACGGCUGAGAGUAAAUACGCACAUGCACAACAAAUUAAAUGUUAAUUUUCUCUGCCAUGGGUGCUCACAAGUGGAGGCUGCUGAAUGCAUCCACCCAUGGAAUUGUCAAAGCUCUAUUUGAAUCUUACCGUGGGCUGCAGAAGGUAAAUCAGUUUUACUAGACUGUUUUUUUAUUUAAGUUUUUGUUUCAAUAUUGAAUACUCUCCUGCUAAUGUAAGGAAUAGUAAGUUUGCCCAUGCUGGAAAAAUAGAAUAUCAUCUCUCAUCUAAUGUGCUCGAGCUGAUAUGGUGUACAAGGUAAAUGGCAGAUAAUUCUACACUGGGAUUAGCCAAGAAAAUCAAGAAUGAGGCGCGAAAAUUGUUCUUAAGCGAGAUAUAUCUAGAGGCUUUAUUGGUCACAAUGGAGAGGUAGAGGAGCUUGUGUGUGUUUGUUGAUAAACUGAAAAAGUAAUAGAGAGACAGAUGAUUUUCACGGAAUGCUUGUGGUGAGAGGAAGAUGAACCAUAGAGAACGAUGUGUAACAACCUGCUUAUGAGUAUAUUAGUAUAUAUGAUGCUGAUGCUGACAAGACUGGUCAUUGAAUUUGGUCAUACAUAUAACCUCAUCAAAUAAUUAUUUUAAGUACAUAUAAGAGAAUUUCUAGGAGGCAAUUUUUGAUGUUGUUGCAGGGGACCAUGAUUAAUGACCAAAUGAUGCUGCACCAUGUCACUAAGUGUAGGCACGAAGCAUAUCUAGCCUCGAGGUUGAUGUCAUGGUAUGGGAGAGAAGUCAGACGAAGCUUAAGCUUCUGGCUUAAUUGACGAGGCUAACAAAACAUUUGCAAAAGACCUGGAUGAGAGGAGUUCGGAAAACAAAACUUAAGGAUAUAGAGAGGGGAGGUAGCUAGAGAAGUUCAUCGGCGUCUAUCAGAAACUCUGAGAGGCCCACAAAUGCCACAAUGGAAAAAUGUUAAGAGUAAGUUUGUUAGCAGGUACAAUGAGGUAGCUCUUUCAUUACAGCCAUUUCCUAAUUUUAUGUUUGCGAGCUUUUAACUAAAUAUGCAUGAAAAGGUGACAGACCAAACUAUAGUGUUUAAGUUAUAUCUCCCUCGAGAUUUCCGUAGUCUUCUACCUAAUGAACCCAUGUGGGAUCAUGCAUUCAUGCCUAUGGGUUUGGUUUCCGGUGAGUUUAUAAGAUUUUACACAUUAAUCUUAGAGAAAUUCAGUGUUAACAUAAUUACAGUGAAAUAAUCUAAGACCAGCAAGAUUAGCCCUUAAGCAUUAACUACUAAGAAUCUGAUAACGCAAAAUGUAUACAAUAUAAUUACCCUGACAAUAGGUUUCACCACCCGAACCAACCUCGCUAUAUAACUGGUCUCUUUUUGCAUUGGUAUCUUAGCCCAUCUCAAACGUUACUUUAGAUUAGAAAUAAUGUCAUAUGUGUUAGCAUUCGUUUAAAUUAUUAAAUUAUUUUCAAAAGUAAAUAAAUGAGAGAAACAAGAGGACUGCAUGACAAUAUGUUAUAACCAGUGGCGGAGCCAUAAACUUUUUUUACCGGGGGCAUAAUUUUUUCAAAUAAUAUUUAAUAUUAAAUCAAUUAUUUAUAUAAUUAAAUAAAUAUUUAUUAUUAAAUAAAGUGAUAAACAACUGGUAUUUUUAAGUAAAUAUUUUUAUUAUUUAUACGAUUUAACAUAUAACUUAAAUAAUUUUAAUAAAAAAAUGUUUAUGGUAUUUGUAAAGAAAAUAACCUAAUCAUGGCUCAUGGGGAAAUAAUAAAAACCUAAUUAUCUCAUCAAAAUAGUUAACCAAUGAAAAAUAUAUAAAAGACUUAUUGAACAAAAGUUACUGAACAAACCUCUUUAAAUAAAAUACAAAAAUUCAUUGAAUAUUUUGUCAUGCAUAUUAGUGUAUAUGCAAAAUAGGAAAGUAUCAAUAAUUUAUUACAACUGAUAAAUAUGAGAUUUAAAAAAAAACGGAAAU
This is a long non-coding RNA of Brassica rapa (field mustard), 2403 nucleotides long. RefSeq lists it as uncharacterized. NCBI's taxonomy places the organism in Eukaryota, Viridiplantae, Streptophyta, Magnoliopsida, Brassicales, Brassicaceae. The record is from RefSeq and is a predicted model, not a curated record.